Long non-coding RNA from Syngnathus acus (greater pipefish), 948 nucleotides. RefSeq lists it as uncharacterized. The record is from RefSeq and is a predicted model, not a curated record. NCBI's taxonomy places the organism in Eukaryota, Metazoa, Chordata, Actinopteri, Syngnathiformes, Syngnathidae. The transcript is spliced from 3 exons.
UAUGCAUUAGCAUUUGGCGCUCUGGUUCCCAGGCGGCAUCAAUGGGCCAGGGAAAGGGGAUCAGAGUGCGUGGAUCCAUCCGACUUGAUUAGACGGGCAGCAUUCCUGCUGUGGCAAGCCAACAAGCCAGGAGGGCGAUGGACACAAAUAGAUCAGCAGAGAGUGAAGGUGGGUCCGCCUCGCCCCCUCAGAGUGCAAGCGAGGCCACCUGAUCCUAAUACACGUCACGCAGCCAGCCCGCACCUAAAUUUAGACCACGUUUACUGUGAUGGGGCGGGGAGAUGCCAGUAAUGGGUCACGUGUUUAGUUAUCAAAUUGUCAAAUCAUGCAAAUUAGCAUGUUUGAUGCUUUGUACUUGGAUGUCAUGCAUACAUCAGUAUGCACGGAUUUAUCAGUAUGUUAAAUCAGAUGGAGCGAGUUCCGUUUGGAAUCUCACCUAAGAGUGUUCCUGUAAAAGAGGCGAGGAUGCUGCAUCCUAAAUGGAUAGGAGGCCAGACAUUGGUUGCUUGCUCAAAAGUCAGAUGAGUGAUGGUGACGUGAGGUUAGCCUCCAAAUUGGAACAAUGUUGCUGUUAAAUUCACAAAUUCAGCAUGCAUUUGAUUUCAGUCAAUUAUCCUAAUUACCUAAUGCAAAAAAAAAAAAAAAAAGUUACAUAAAUGUGAAGCUCUUGGUUAAGAAGAAUCACAUUGUAUUUGACAUUAUUUGCUGCGAACAUAAUUCAUUCUGUCUUCCUUUUAUGAAAGGCUAAUACAAACACUGGUGGCCAUAAAAUAGCACUUUGUUGACACUCUAAGAGCAUUAUCAACGUCCUGUAAUGAUUUCCAUUAUAUAUUAACCAUAGCUCGCUCACUGUACACAUUGACACGCUGAUCCUUUCCUGCCUAUACUUAGCACAUGUUGAUGAAGACUUUCAGAACAUAUAGGCUGGAUCCGGUCAUGCGUGCAGAC